This 914-nucleotide ribosomal RNA is filed under the name uncultured bacterium. Its description in RNAcentral is "bacterial SSU rRNA". It matches the Rfam family "Bacterial small subunit ribosomal RNA", at positions 1 to 916 of the family's 1533-position model. The record is from RNAcentral.
UCCUUAGAGUUUGAUCCUGGCUCAGGAUGAACGCUAGCGGCAGGCCUAAUACAUGCAAGUCGAACGGUAAGUAUGAUAGCAAUAUUAUACCAAGAGUGACGCACGGGUGCGUAACACGUAUGCAACCUACCCUUUACAGGCGGAUAGCUCGGGGAAACUCGAAUUAACCCGCCAUAAGAUAAUUGGAUGGCAUCAUUUGAUUAUUAAAACUGAGGUGGUAAAGGAUGGGCAUGCGUCUGAUUAGUUAGUUGGUAGUGUAACGGACUACCAAGACGAUGAUCAGUAGGGGAACUGAGAGGUUGAUCCCCCACACUGGCACUGAGAUACGGGCCAGACUCCUACGGGAGGCAGCAGUAGGGAAUAUUGGUCAAUGGGUGAGAGCCUGAACCAGCCAUGCCGCGUGCAGGAAGAAGGCCUUCUGGGUUGUAAACUGCUUUUGCCAGGGGCUAAAAAGCUCAUGCGUGAGAAAUUGAAAGUACCUGGUGAAUAAGCCACGGCUAACUACGUGCCAGCAGCCGCGGUAAUACGUAGGUGGCGAGCGUUGUCCGGAUUUAUUGGGUUUAAAGGGUGCGUAGGCGGCCCUGUAAGUCAGUGCUGAAAUAUCCCAGCUUAACUGGGAGGGUGGCAUUGAUACUGCGGGGCUAGAGUACAGAUGAGGUAGGCGGAAUUGACGGUGUAGCGGUGAAAUGCUUAGAUAUCGUCAAGAACACCUAUAGCGAAGGCAGCUUACUAGGCUGUAACUGACGCUGAGGCACGAAAGUGUGGGGAUCAAACAGGAUUAGAUACCCUGGUAGUCCACACUGUAAACGUUGAUUACUCGCUGUGUGCGAUAUACAGUACGCGGCCAAGCGAAAGCGCUAAGUAAUCCACCUGGGGAGUACGCCGGCAACGGUGAAACUCAAAGGAAUUGACGG